Non-coding RNA from Paramuricea clavata, 356 nucleotides. NCBI's taxonomy places the organism in Eukaryota, Metazoa, Cnidaria, Anthozoa, Malacalcyonacea, Plexauridae. The record is from the annotation of a GenBank genome assembly.
CCCAAAUGAAACUGAGCUUGAAAGUCAGCGAAAUAUAUAUUAAACAAUGUAUUUCAUAUUUUACCUGAAUAAUUAUAUUUACAGUAUUUUUCUAAACGAUUAAUACAUGUAGAUUGUAGGAUACAGUAGUUUUUAUUGAAUAAAAUACUUUCAAAAUUUUGCCCAGUUUGGUACUUGCAAGCUUUCCAUGUUGCGAAGGAAAUUUUGAGGAAGCGCAAUUUAUUUUGACACACAUAAUUUCUUGUGUUCAUUGACGAUUCCUUCAGUAACAGAAGGUUCUGCUAAAGUGGAAAGCCUAAAUCUGCCUUAUACAUAAUUCGCAAUUAGGCACAGUGUCCUCAGUGGCGCCAUGGCCG